UCAUAAACAACCAGGAUGUUGGCUCAGAAGCAGCCACCAUUUAAAGAGUGCGUAAUAGCUCACUGGUCGAGAGACCCUGCGCCGAAGAUUCCCGGGGCUAAAGUACGAAACCGAAGCUGUGGCUGUAUACGUAAAGUAUACGGGGUAGGGGAGCGUUCCCAUAGGGUAGAAGUCGAACUGGAAGGUUCGGUGGACUUGUGGGAAGUGAGAAUGUUGGUAUGAGUAGCGAAAAGAAAGGUGAGAAUCCUUUCCACCGAAAGCAUAAGGAUUCCUGAGCAACGAUCGUCGUCUCAGGGUAAGUCGGGACCUAAUCCGAGGCAGAGAGCGUAGGAGAUGGACAACUGGUUGAUAUUCCAGUACCGGUAGUAAUUGUUUGAGCAAUGGAGUGACACAGAAGGGCAGGCAAGCAUGCGAAUGGAAGAGCAUGUGUAAGCGUGUAGGGUGGUGCAUAGGCAAAUCCGUGCACUGAAAGCCUGAGGCGUGAUGCGGAGUGAGCAGAGAUGCGAGCGAAGUUGUUGACCCCACACUGUCGAGAAAAGCUUCUAGUGAGAGAGCUACCGCCCGUACCGUAAACCGACACAGGUAUGCGGGGAGAGAAUCCUAAGGUGCGCGGGAGAACCCUCGUUAAGGAACUCGGCAAAAUGUACCCGUAACUUCGGGAUAAGGGUAGCCACUGUUGUGAAGUCCCAUGCGGAUGGAGCAUAGAGUGGUCGCAGAGAAGAGGCCCAAGCGACUGUUUACCAUAAACACAGGUGCCUGCUAAAGCGAAAGCUGACGUAUAGGUGCUGACACCUGCCCAGUGCCGGAAGGUUAAGGAAGGAUGUUCGGAUUAGUCCAAAGCAUUCGACUGAAGCCCCGGUGAACGGCGGCCGUAACUAUAACGGUCCUAAGGUAGCGAAAUUCCUUGUCGGGUAAGUUCCGACCCGCACGAAAGGUGUAACGAUUUGGGCACUGUCUCAACGAGGGACCCGGUGAAAUUGAAAUACCUGUGAAGAUGCAGGUUACCCGCGACUGGACAGAAAGACCCCAUGGAGCUUUACUGUAACCUGACAUUGGGUUUUGAUACAUUACGUACAGGAUAGGUGGGAGGCAUGGAAAGCUGGACGCUAGUCUGGCUGGAGCCGACGUUGGGAUACCACCCUUGAUGUAUUGAAAUUCUAACCGCGAGAGUAACGAAAUCCGGGACAGUGUCAGGCGGGCAGUUUGACUGGGGCGGUCGCCUCCGAAAGAGUAACGGAGGCGCCCAAAGGUUCCCUCAGCGCGGCCGGAAAUCGCGCGAAGAGUGUAAAGGCAGAAGGGAGCUUGACUGCGAGUCAAACACGACGAGCAGGUACGAAAGUAGGGCUUAGUGAUCCGGUGGUACCGAGUGGAAGGGCCAUCGCUCAACGGAUAAAAGCUACCCUGGGGAUAACAGGCUAAUCUCUCCCAAGAGUCCAUAUCGACGGGGAGGUUUGGCACCUCGAUGUCGGCUCAUCACAUCCUGGGGCUGAA
RNAcentral lists this ribosomal RNA (1491 nucleotides) under human gut metagenome. RNAcentral describes it as "bacterial LSU rRNA". It matches the Rfam family "Bacterial large subunit ribosomal RNA", at positions 1083 to 2557 of the family's 2925-position model. The record is from RNAcentral.